This is a small nuclear RNA of Rhinopithecus bieti (black snub-nosed monkey), 107 nucleotides long. Lineage: Eukaryota; Metazoa; Chordata; Mammalia; Primates; Cercopithecidae. The record is from Ensembl.
GUGCUCGCUUUGGCAACACAUAUACUAAAAUUGGAAUGAUACAGAGAAGAUUAGCAUGGCCCCUGCACAAGGAUGACAUGCAAAUUCGUGAAGCAUUCCAUAUUUUU